RNAcentral lists this non-coding RNA (921 nucleotides) under Plectroglyphidodon dickii (blackbar devil). RNAcentral describes it as "partial 12S ribosomal RNA". It matches the Rfam family "Bacterial small subunit ribosomal RNA". Lineage: Eukaryota; Metazoa; Chordata; Actinopteri; Pomacentridae. The record is from RNAcentral.
CACAAAGGCUUGGUCCUGACUUUACUGUCAGCUCUGACCAGAUUUACACAUGCAAGUAUCAGCCCCCCUGUGAGGAUGCCCUACAGUUCCCCGUCCGAGAACAAGGAGCCGGUAUCAGGCACAAUUCCCUUAGCCCAUGACACCUUGCUUAGCCACACCCCCAAGGGUAUUCAGCAGUGAUAAACAUUAAGCCAUGAGUGAAAACUUGACUUAGUUAGAGCCAAUUGAGGGCCGGUAAAACUCGUGCCAGCCACCGCGGUUAUACGAGGGGCUCAAGUUGACAGACAGCGGCGUAAAGCGUGGUUAAGGAACCCCCUCCCCCAAACUAAAGUCGAACGUCCUCAGAACUGUUAUACGUAUCCGAAGAUAAGAAGCCCCAUCACGAAAGUAACUUUAUCUCCCCUGACCCCACGAAAGCUGUGACACAAACUGGGAUUAGAUACCCCACUAUGCUCAGCCAUAAACUUUGAUAGGCCAUUACACCCCCUAUCCGCCCGGGAACUACGAGCACUAGCUUAAAACCCAAAGGACUUGGCGGUGCUUCAGACCCACCUAGAGGAGCCUGUUCUACAACCGAUAUCCCCCGUUGAACCUCACCCUCUCUUUGUUCUUUUCCGUCUAUAUACCGCCGUCGUCAGCUUACCCUGUGAAGGGCUAAUAGUAAGCAAAAUUGGCAAAGCCCAAAACGCCAGGUCGAGGUGUAGUGAAUGAGAGGGCAAGAAAUGGGCUACAUUUCCUGGACCAGGAGACACGAACAAUUCUUUGUGCUGAAAAACACAUUUGAAGGAGGAUUUAGCAGUAAGCGAAAAUUAGAGCGUUUCGCUGAAAUUGGCCCUGAAGCGCGCACACACCGCCCGUCACUCUCCCCAGCAAUAUUCAUGGACCCAUACUUAAACUUUAAUACCAAACAUAGGGGAGGCA